RNAcentral lists this ribosomal RNA (643 nucleotides) under uncultured archaeon. RNAcentral describes it as "bacterial SSU rRNA". It matches the Rfam family "Archaeal small subunit ribosomal RNA", at positions 770 to 1448 of the family's 1478-position model. The record is from RNAcentral.
AACAUCGGUUCCUCCUCGAGAGGCAUCGGUGCUGCAGGGAAGCCGAAGAGUGUGCUACCUGGGAAGUAUGGUCGCAAGGCUGAAACUUAAAGGAAUAGGCGGGGAGACACUACAACAGGUGACGCGUGCGGUUCAAUUAGAUUACACACCGUGAACCUCACCAGGAGCGACAGCAGGAUGAAGGUCAGUCUAAAGGGCUUACCUGACACGCUGAGCGGAGAUGCAUGGCCGACGUCAGCCUGUGUUGUGAGAUGACCUGUUAAAUCAGGUAACAGGCAAGACCCUCAUACCUAUUUAUUUUCUAUAGGUAGAUUGCCUUGGUAACAAGGAUGAGAGCGAGGGCUACGUUAGGUGAGUACAUCCCUAAUCCCCUGGGCGACACGCGCGCGUCAAUGGCGAAUACAACGGGAUGCGACGCAGAAAUGCGAAGCCAAUCUCUUAAAGUUCGUCUCAGUCCAGAUCGAGGUUUGCAACUCAGCCUCGUGACGCUGGAAUCUGUAGUAAUCGUUUGUUAUCAGCGAACGGUGAAUAUGUCACUGUCUCUUGCACUCACUGCCCGUCAAACCAACCGAGUUUAGUUAUGGUGAAAUCUUCGGAGAGAACUUUGGCUAGACAAGGUAGGUUAAGUCGUAACAAGGUAGCC